RNAcentral lists this ribosomal RNA (373 nucleotides) under uncultured organism. Its description in RNAcentral is "partial 16S ribosomal RNA". It matches the Rfam family "Bacterial small subunit ribosomal RNA", at positions 527 to 896 of the family's 1533-position model. The record is from RNAcentral.
GUAGGUGGCAAGCGUUGUCCGGAAUUAUUGGGCGUAAAGCGCGCGCAGGCGGUCCUUUAAGUCUGAUGUGAAAGCCCACGGCUCAACCGUGGAGGGUCAUUGGAAACUGGGGGACUUGAGUACAGAAGAGGAAAGCGGAAUUCCAAGUGUAGCGGUGAAAUGCGUAGAGAUUUGGAGGAACACCAGUGGCGAAGGCGGCUUUCUGGUCUGUAACUGACGCUGAGACGCGAAAGCGUGGGGAGCAAACAGGAUUAGAUACCCUGGUAGUCCACGCCGUAAACGAUGAGUGCUAAGUGUUAGGGGGUUUCCCGCCCCCUUAGUGCUGCAGCUAACGCAUUAAGCACUCCGCCUGGGGAGUACGGCCGCAAGGCUG